GGGGAAGCCAGGUUGUUUUUCUCGUUGUUUGUCCUUCCCCAUCGGGCUAGGAAGAAUUCCUAAAAGGGACCACACAGGAAAGAGGCCCUAAUUUCUUAGCAGGACUUGAAUGAGGAUCUCUCACUCUGGCCAGCCGAGGAGGGGUGGCCUGGCCUCUGGGAGUCUUGGGGUCUUCCUGUCUGGAGGGAUGCUACCUCCGGGCGGAGGAAGGUGUUGAGAGAUCCUGGGAGCUCAGAGCCAGUUAGCUGAAAAACUGUCCUUUGGAAAGAAUCAAACUUCGGAAAACGCUUAAUAUCUGACUAAAGGCUUUUUCCUGGAGCCGCGGGAGGUGGGAACCCGGCCCGAGACGCCAAUGAGACAAGAUCAAACUCCCCUCUUCGGGGUGUGUGUGCGUGUGUGUGUGUGUGUGUGUGUGUGUGUGUGUGUGUGUGUGUGUGUGGUGUCGCCUCCUCCAAGCCGGGCUUUGUGAAUGGGGGCUCCGGGACGCCGGCUGGGAGGGACCAGAGGCCGACCCGGACACCAGCGCCUCCUCCCGGGGGCGAGGAGAAACCAGGCGGAGGGCGCCCCAGACACAGUGGUCCGGAGCGAGACAAGCAAGCGACAGGGACACAGGCCGCGGAGAGAUAAGGGCCGCGUCCCUGCAGGCCGAGCGGAGAGACGUAUGGUCGUGUGUGGGAGGGGGAGAGGGGAGAAUAAUAUGAAUCACAUCCCCCUUGCAGUCCCUUAAUUUCCGAUCCCAACAAAGCUUAAAUCUA
Long non-coding RNA from Felis catus (domestic cat), 755 nucleotides. RefSeq lists it as uncharacterized. The transcript has 3 exons. The record is from RefSeq and is a predicted model, not a curated record. NCBI's taxonomy places the organism in Eukaryota, Metazoa, Chordata, Mammalia, Carnivora, Felidae.